RNAcentral lists this long non-coding RNA (4849 nucleotides) under Sus scrofa (pig). RNAcentral's name for it is "lncRNA (ENSSSCG00055002236.1)". Lineage: Eukaryota; Metazoa; Chordata; Mammalia; Artiodactyla; Suidae. The record is from RNAcentral.
GAGUCUAAGUUCUAAUAAGAAUUGAGAGCUUAUCCAGCCCCAGUACUUUUUCUAACACAUUAUCGCUGUUCCUAAUAAAUGUAUGACUAACUCAUACCUGCUAGUUAGAUCAAUUCUUUGAUUCAUUUAAAACAGAAAGAGAAGUAAUUUUCUUAGAUUGAGAAGGGAGAAUACUGAUUCAGUUGAUUUGAUCUUAAGCAGUCCUUUGUUCUACACAACAAAGGAAGGAAGGGGGUAGGUAUCUUUGUAAACUCAAGAAUUUUUACUAGGAGAAAAGGAAGUGACAACGUAAGAAGUCUGAGGCAGCUGGAUAAAACGGGAGGUUAACAGGGAAAUAUCCAUCUGGGAGUUCCAGAAUGUUCAGAAGACAAGGACUUAUACCUUUGUCUUUAUUUUUCAAAGGCAGGAUGUCAGACAGUCACUAGAACUUGAGCCAGGACAAGCUUUUGCUCUUAACUCAGAGCAUCAUCAUGGCAUCCCCGAAAGGCUCCUUUAAGUUGCAGCUUCCAACCCACAAACCCCCAUGCAGAGGGCUAAGGAAAUGGUGUAUAGUUCAGGCAUUGCAGCAAAGCCAUAAUUUCUUAUCUCUUACCCCUUCACUAAAUUACAAUUAAAUUCCAUCAUUCAAAACUGCCUGAUCUUGAGCCAGAUGCAUAUAUCACAAGAAGGCAUUAAAAUCUGACCUUUUAUAUCCCCAAUAAGAAAUGUCAUGAGUCCAUCACAGAAACAUAACUCCCUUUCAAAUUAGAGCUAAGAAAGAUUUGAACUUCAAAGGAGAACUCUUCAAUUACAGGUGAAUCAGAGGACUUUUCUAGUAACCUCUUAAAAUGCGAAUUCCAAACAAAAAAUGAGAUAACUUUUGUGUUUCAGAACAAAAAAUUUAAAUGAAUAAAUAGCUGGAUGUGGGAAAAAAUGUUACAUACAAAUGUGAAAAAGGACCGCAUUGAUCCAUCUCUUUGAAGUUGGUUCUAAGAUUAUUAGCAACUUGAAAAUCAUUUCAGCAGAGGCCCUCAAACCCAAAACAAUUAUCCACUGGCUCUUUUACUGGCUAAGAUUUACAUCUAGUGGCUUUAUCAGUUAUCGAAACCAGAGAGACUGCAAAGAAUACUGUGGGGCAUGGUGACUUCGGAGCUUGCUCUUGGAAUAUUUAUCAUGUUAGCUCAGUAAAUAGCUCAUCCUUUGCCAGCAGGAAGAUAAGCAGACAGCCUUAUCGGUCUUGGUACUUUCAAAAGGGUUUCACCCCACAGCACCCUGCAGAACAUCCAUUUUCCCUCCAAUGACCAUCCAUGCCUGGAAACUAAGUAUUUAGAUCUUUGUAAAGAAGAGUCACUUAAAUAAGAAAGAAAAAACUUAACUGAAGAGUAAUAAGAGGAAAGAAGGGGAGAGGGAGCAACCAGAGAUAGAUUUAAGCGAAAAGGCAGGAGUUCCCACUGGGUUAAGGAUCUGAUUGUAGUGGCUUGGGUGGCUGCAAAGGUGCAGGUUCAAUCCUCAGCCUGGCACAGUGAGUUAAGUAAGGAUCUGGUGUUGCCACAGCUGCGUGUAGGUCACAGCUGUGGUGUAGGUCACAGCUGCGGCUCACAUUCAAUCCCUGGCCCGGGAACUUCCAUACACUUCAGAUACAAGCUCCCCCCCCCCAAAAAAAAGCAAUGACACCUUGGCUCUCUUGGAGACUGAGGGGAGAUGGCUAUAAGGCAAUUGUAAUUGAGGCGUGUAGACUGAGGCCAUACACAGGUACUUUCACCUCCAUCGACACAAAAGCCAACUUGGUGUCCGAGGGAAGGCAAUGACAAAGCAGGAUGGCUUUCCCAACAAUCACGUAUGUCUUCACUUAAUAAAUAGUUAUUGAGUUUCCACUGUGUAUACAUAUACGUCAGAGAUAUAUCAUGAGUCUAAGCAGAAGGAAAAGGGAUAAUAAAGCAUAUGAUAGGUAGAAAACACAAGCCAAAAUAAAAUAACACUAAUUCAAAAGAAGAAACUAUGCCAAUUGUGGGACUUUGCAGCCUCACACAGAAAACAGAAUCUGAGGAGUUCCCGUCGUGGUGCAGUGCUUAACGAAUCCAACUAGGAACCAUGAGGUUUCGGUUCGGUCCCUGGCCUUGCUCAGUGGGUUAAGGAUCCGGCAUUGUCGUGAGCUGUGGUGUAGGUUGCAGACGCAGCUCGGAUCCCACGUUGCCAUAGCUCUGGCAUAGGCUGGUGGCUACAGCUCCGUUUAGAACCCUAGGCUGGGAACCUCCAUGUGCCAUGGGAGUGGCCCUAGAAUGGCAAAAAGACACACACACACACACACACACAAAAAAUAGUAUUUGAAUUGGGCCUUAAAGAAACAGUAAGAUUUGGAUGCCGAUCAAAACUACUAUGAGAUAUCACCUUACACCAGCGAGAAUGGCCAUCAUCAAAAAGUCUACAAAUAAUAAAUGCUGGUGAGGGUACGAAGAAAAGGGAAGGAACCCUCUUACGCUGUUGGGGAGAAUGAAAAUUAGUGCAACCACUAUGGAAAACAGUAUGGAGGUUCCUCAAAAAACUAAAAAUAAAACUACCAUGUGAUCCAGCAAUUCCUCUCCUGGGCAUCUAUCUGGAGAAAACCAUAAUUCAAAAAGAUAUGUGUACCCCCAGUGUUCAUUGCGGCACGACUCACAAUAGCCAAGACAUGGAAGAAACCUAAACGUUGACAGAGGAGUGAAUAAAGAAGAUGUGGUACAACAUAAAUACAAUGGAAUGUUUCUCAGCCAUCAAAAAGAAUGAAAUAAUGCCUAUUGCAGCAACAUGGACGGACCUAGAAAUCAUCAUACUAAGUGAAGUUAGUGAAAGACAAACAUCAUCUGAUAUCACUUACAUGUGGAAUCCUUAAAAAGAAUACAAAUGAGCUUGUUUGCAGAACAGAAACAGACUCACAGACUUUGACACUUUUAUGGUUACCAAAAGGGACAGACCUGGCAGGGUGGGGUGGAGUGGACUGGGGUUUGGCAUUGGCAUAUGCUCACUGAGGUAUAUGCAAUGAUUGGCCCCUAGGGACCUUCUGUAUAGCACAGAGAACUCUGCCCAAUAUUCUGUGAUCAUCUGUGUGGGGAAAGAAUCUGAACGAGAAUGGAAGAGUUCCAAUUGUGGCUCAGUGGUAAUGAACCUGACUAGUAUCCAUGAGGACUCAGUUUGAUCCCUGGUCUUGCUUAAUGGGUUAAGGAUCCUGCAUUGUGGUGAGCUGCGGUGUAGGUUGCAGACGAGGCUCAGACCUGGUGCUGCUGUGGCUGUGGUGUAUGCUGGCAGCUAAAGCUCUGAUUUGACAAGACAAAAGCCAUCUUUAUUAUUCCACAACUUGUAAACAGAUUAGCUCUUAUUCUCAACACCACAUAUUUGAGCUGUAAAGGAAUAUUUUUCACAGUUCUUUAACAGCAACUCCCAUAGCAAAUAAAAAAAAAGCAAUCCUAUAUAUAAAAUACAAACAUAAAAGAAUAAUAUUGUGCUAUUCUUCAUUUGAAGUUAAUCACCUAUAAGUCUGAGUUAUUUUUUUUUCCAGCAGUCAAGAUUGAGUUUGCACCAAAUAUCUCUUCUCUUUGCCUAGUCCCCUUGGUAACCAGAAGCAUUACAUCUGCAAAGACAGGGGCAAAGACAGGGUAAGUGGACCAGGACACAGAUCAGGGCCACACACAUGGGUCAAGUCCAUAGCCUGGGCUUUACAGCCACUGCAGAAUUUUUCCACAAAUUGUGAUCGUUGGAAUUCUGCCAACAUCAGCCCUCAGUUUAUAAUGAUCCAGUGCUCAAGAGUUUCUGCAUUGCUAAAUGUUUGUGGGGCUCAGAAAUCAAUAUCUAAUCACACUUAGCUGGAACCUGAUAUUCUGUACACUCAGCAGUGUAGGCUGCUGGUUGCUGUGUAUAUAAAGGGUAACAUGGGAAGCAGACCGUUUGUUGGAAUAAAUUGCAUUAAAAAUAUCGCUACUCUGGUGCAAAUCACUGUUAAUGACAUUUAUUGAGUGCUCAUUUUGCGAGAGUCCCACUCUCCCAGUUGAGUCUUAAGGUGAUACAAAGAAAACAGAGGACACAUUUUUUUGAACCUAGAAGCUAAUGCUGUUUUUCUCAGUCCUUCACUAGGAUCAUAAUGGCUAGAUUAUUUCUCAAAAUCUGUCAGCUUUAAAAUCCUGAGGAAUGGGAAUAUCAGCGUUAUGGAAUCACCGGCUGCACCUGGUUUCCUGGUAGAGCCUGCUCCUCUUUCAGCCAGGAGCACAUGGAGAAACCAAUCGGGCCUUUCAGUAAGCUGUUAUAGGGUCCCAGGUGUAGCCAAGUCCUUAACUGUAUAAUCCACACUAAGCUCACAACCACAUCCCUAACGAAAUGUCUAGUAGCAGCAGUGAUGUCCCUUCAGUUUUUCAUAGGCUGGCUCUACUGUCACCUAAGAAAAGGAUGUGUGUAACGCUUCCUAGAAGAGCGCUUCUCAAGCUUGAAUGAGCAUCUGAAUCUCAGCUGGGGAUCUUAUUACAAUGCAGAUUCCAGUUCAGUGGAAUCAGAUGGGGUGUCUUGAGAUGCUGCAUUUCUAACAAGCCCCCAGGCAACAUGAUGCUGCGGGUCCUCAGAUAACACUUUGAGGAACCAGGAGAGAGAUUUAUGGAGAGAGCUUUACCUGCUUCCAGCAGUGUGCAAAGGAAUAAAGACAAAAGUCUCACGUUCUCUAUCUUUUCCUCUCUGUCACUCAAGCACUAGAGACUAUACGACAAUCAAGCCUUAAGUAUAGCCUUGGGAGGGAGUUCCUUGGUGACCUAGCAGUUAAGAAACUGGCAUUGUCGCUGCUGUGGUGCAGCUUCGAUCCCUGGUCUGGAACUUCCACUCCACAUGCCACAGAGCAAAAAAAAAAAAAAAAAAA